UGGCGGACGGGUGAGUAAUGUCUGGGAAACUGCCUGAUGGAGGGGGAUAACUACUGGAAACGGUAGCUAAUACCGCAUAACGUCGCAAGACCAAGGGGGGACCUUCGGGCCUCUUGCCAUCGGAUGUGCCCAGAUGGGAUUAGCUAGUAGGUGGGGUAAAGGCUCACCUAGGCGACGAUCCCUAGCUGGUCUGAGAGGAUGACCAGCCACACUGGAACUGAGACACGGUCCAG
Molecule: ribosomal RNA, 233 nt
Filed under: uncultured bacterium
Lineage: Bacteria
Description: partial 16S ribosomal RNA
Rfam family: Bacterial small subunit ribosomal RNA
Source: RNAcentral